This 454-nucleotide ribosomal RNA is filed under the name uncultured Prevotella sp. RNAcentral describes it as "partial 16S ribosomal RNA". It matches the Rfam family "Bacterial small subunit ribosomal RNA", at positions 341 to 792 of the family's 1533-position model. Lineage: Bacteria; Pseudomonadati; Bacteroidota; Bacteroidia; Bacteroidales; Prevotellaceae. The record is from RNAcentral.
ACGGGAGGCAGCAGUAGGGAAUAUUGGGCAAUGGAGGCAACUCUGACCCAGCCAUGCCGCGUGAAGGAAGACGGCCCUAUGGGUUGUAAACUUCUUUUAUCGUAGAGUAAACCUGCCCACGUGUGGGCAGUUGAGAGUAUACGAGGAAUAAGUAUCGGCUAACUCCGUGCCAGCAGCCGCGGUAAUACGGGGGAUACGAGCGUUAUCCGGAUUUAUUGGGUUUAAAGGGAGCGUAGGCCGUGCUUUAAGCGUGUUGUGAAAUGUAGGCGCCCAACGUCUGCACUGCAGCGCGAACUGGAGCACUUGAGUACGCAGGAAGUAGGCGGAAUUCGUCGUGUAGCGGUGAAAUGCUUAGAUAUGACGAAGAACUCCGAUUGGGAAGCCAGCUUACUGUAGCGCCACUGACGCUGAUGCUCGAAAGCGUGGGUAUCGAACAGGAUUAGAUACCCUGGUA